UACGUAGGGUGCAAGCGUUGUCCGGAAUUAUUGGGCGUAAAGAGCUCGUAGGCGGUCUGUCACGUCGGCUGUGAAAACCCGAGGCUCAACCUCGGGCCUGCAGUCGAUACGGGCAGACUAGAGUUCGGUAGGGGAGACUGGAAUUCCUGGUGUAGCGGUGAAAUGCGCAGAUAUCAGGAGGAACACCGGUGGCGAAGGCGGGUCGCUGGGCCGGUACCGACGCUGAGGAGCGAAAGCGUGGGGAGCGAACAGG
RNAcentral lists this ribosomal RNA (253 nucleotides) under uncultured bacterium. RNAcentral describes it as "partial 16S ribosomal RNA". It matches the Rfam family "Bacterial small subunit ribosomal RNA", at positions 524 to 776 of the family's 1533-position model. The record is from RNAcentral.